AGCGGCGGACGGGUGAGUAACGCGUGGGCAACCUGCCUCAUACAGGGGGAUAACAGUUAGAAAUGACUGCUAAUACCGCAUAAGACCGCGGUGCCGCAUGGCACAGCGGUAAAAACUCCGGUGGUAUGAGAUGGGCCCGCGUCUGAUUAGCUAGUUGGCGGGGUAACGGCCCACCAAGGCGACGAUCAGUAGCCGACCUGAGAGGGCGACCGGCCUCAUUGGGACUGAGACACGGCCCAAACUUAUACGGGAGGCAGCAGUGGGGAAUAUUGGACAAUGGGGGAAACCCUGAUCCAGCGACGCCGCGUGAGUGAAGAAGUAUUUCGGUAUGUAAAGCUCUAUCAGCAGGGAAGAAAAUGACGGUACCUGACUAAGAAGCCCCGGCUAACUACGUGCCAGCAGCCGCGGUAAUACGUAGGGGGCAAGCGUUAUCCGGAUUUACUGGGUGUAAAGGGAGCGUAGACGGCGUAGCAAGUCUGAUGUGAAAGAUCGGGGCUCAACCCCGGGCCUGCAUUGGAAACUGUUAAGCUGGAGUACAGGAGAGGUAAGCGGAAUUCCUAGUGUAGCGGUGAAAUGCGUAGAUAUUAGGAGGAACACCAGUGGCGAAGGCGGCUUACUGGACUGUAACUGACGUUGAGGCUCGAAAGCGUGGGGAGCAAACAGGAUUAGAUACCCUGGUAGUCCACGCCGUACACGAUGAUUACUAGGUGUCGG
Molecule: ribosomal RNA, 714 nt
Filed under: uncultured bacterium
Lineage: Bacteria
Description: bacterial SSU rRNA
Rfam family: Bacterial small subunit ribosomal RNA
Source: RNAcentral